CAAUAGCGUAUAUUAAAGUUGUUGCAGUUAAAAAGCUCGUAGUUGGAUUUCUGGUGGGAGCGAUCGGUCUGGCGCUUAGCGCGAGUACUUGCAUCGUCUCCGGCCAUCAUUGGGGAGAGUCUGUCUGGCAUUAGGUUGUCGGGCAGAGGAUCCUCAUCGUUUACUGUGAAAAAAUUAGAGUGUUCAAAGCAGGCUUAUGCCGUUGAAUAUAUUAGCAUGGAAUAAUAAGAUAGGACUUUGGUACUAUUUUGUUGGUUUGCGCACCAAAGUAAUGAUUAAUAGGGACAGUUGGGGGUAUUCGUAUUCCGUUGUCAGAGGUGAAAUUCUUGGAUUUACGGAAGACGAACUACUGCGAAAGCAUUUACCAAGGAUGUUUUCAUUAA
Molecule: ribosomal RNA, 383 nt
Filed under: uncultured eukaryote
Lineage: Eukaryota
Description: partial 18S ribosomal RNA
Rfam family: Eukaryotic small subunit ribosomal RNA
Source: RNAcentral